CUCCUUCCUGUCAGCUGAGCCCAGCUCCAGACUCAAGAGGAACGGCUGGGGUGAUACCAUCUCCUGGUUUCUGCGGGGGUGUAUGUGAGUUCCCUCCCCCUGCCCCCAGCUGUGGGACUGUCCCUUCUCACAGCCACCACCAACUGACUUCCCCACAGCCUCCAGAUGAGCAAAAAGGUAAAACUCCGGCAUUUUCCACAUCCUCAGCAUCCUCCACCUCCUCAGCUGUUCGCACCCGUGCUGGGAUGCAGGUCAGAGACAGCCAGAGACACAGUGGACUGCAGAGAUCGAGAGACGCGGUGGGGAGACAAAGAGACGGAUAAAGAGAAGCACAGAGAUGGAGAACGAAGUCAGUCAGAGAGACAGAGAUGCUGGGCCAGAGUGACAGCCAGAAAGCCACGGGAUGCCCAGAAGCAGAGACGUCUGCAGAGAGACAGUGAUGGACAAAGAGAAACAGAAACAAGGCGGGAAACAGGAGGAUCGCUUGAGCCCAGGAGAUCGAGACCAGCCUGGGCAACAAAGUGAGAACCCACC
This 534-nucleotide long non-coding RNA is filed under the name Homo sapiens (human). RNAcentral's name for it is "non-protein coding lnc-CDK9-2:1". The record is from RNAcentral. Lineage: Eukaryota; Metazoa; Chordata; Mammalia; Primates; Hominidae.